This 462-nucleotide ribosomal RNA is filed under the name uncultured bacterium. RNAcentral describes it as "partial 16S ribosomal RNA". It matches the Rfam family "Bacterial small subunit ribosomal RNA", at positions 28 to 507 of the family's 1533-position model. The record is from RNAcentral.
GACGAACGCUGGCGGCGUGCUUAACACAUGCAAGUCGAGCGGAAAGGCCCUUCGGGGUACUCGAGCGGCGGACGGGUGAGUAACACGUGAGUAACCUGCCCCAGACUUUGGGAUAACCCUCGGAAACGGGGGCUAAUACCGGAUACGACACAGCUUCGCAUGGGGUCUGUGUGGAAAGUUUUUCGGUUUGGGAUGGGCUCGCGGCCUAUCAGCUUGUUGGUGGGGUGAUGGCCUACCAAGGCGACGACGGGUAGCCGGCCUGAGAGGGCGACCGGCCACACUGGGACUGAGACACGGCCCAGACUCCUACGGGAGGCAGCAGUGGGGAAUAUUGCACAAUGGGCGGAAGCCUGAUGCAGCGACGCCGCGUGAGGGAUGACGGCCUUCGGGUUGUAAACCUCUUUCAGCAGGGACGAAGCGUAAGUGACGGUACCUGCAGAAGAAGCGCCGGCCAACUACGUG